Long non-coding RNA from Dipodomys spectabilis (banner-tailed kangaroo rat), 100 nucleotides. RefSeq lists it as uncharacterized. The transcript is spliced from 3 exons. Lineage: Eukaryota; Metazoa; Chordata; Mammalia; Rodentia; Heteromyidae. The record is from RefSeq and is a predicted model, not a curated record.
UUUAUUGAUGUCUAUGAGAAGUUGUGCUUGCUGUUGGUGUUUUGCUCUGAAAUACUGUAGUUUCUAUGUAAAAGAAUGUUUAGAUUUUUUUUUUGAAAAG